AAAGCAAAGUACCUCGGUACCACAAACACGUCCCCUUCACUCACUUUUCUGCUCAUCGCUGCCGUUCCGUUUGGAUAAACAAUCUGAAUUCUUCCACUUCCCCUCAGUACAAUGCCGUAUUCCGUUGCUGUCGGAUUCACAUGUGGCGCCAUCAUCGACCCCUGCAUGAAGAAAAGGGAAGGAAAAAAAGAACUCGUGAAUUACAAUUCAUGUUUGCUAAUUGUUUGUUUGCAGAGGUCUGGGAUUCGAAUCUCGCUUCUUCUUUUGCUUACCGCGGUGAGAUUGACAAGAUAAACACCGAUGCCAGAGUGUCUGAGAGGGGAAUAAUCGGAGUCAUCGACGGCAAUGCUCCAUCCAUAGUUGUUCUUAAAGUCAGGGUUUCGGUUGUAGAGGUUGUAUGAAUCUGGUGCUUUUCGGGUUCCUCGUUCUUUCUUGUUUUCGGUCCCGAAUACUGACGUCAAGAGUUUCCUCCAUGACCAUUUUAUUUCUUCUCCGUCUUCAUCUUGUUCUCG
This 512-nucleotide long non-coding RNA is filed under the name Citrus sinensis (sweet orange). Its description in RNAcentral is "long non-coding RNA (CSIN_LNC003645)". Lineage: Eukaryota; Viridiplantae; Streptophyta; Magnoliopsida; Sapindales; Rutaceae. The record is from RNAcentral.